This 84-nucleotide transfer RNA is filed under the name Megasphaera hominis. RNAcentral describes it as "tRNA-Leu". It matches the Rfam family "tRNA". From Rfam's summary of the family: Transfer RNA (tRNA) molecules are approximately 80 nucleotides in length. Their secondary structure includes four short double-helical elements and three loops (D, anti-codon, and T loops). RNAcentral also lists the same sequence under 2 other names. The record is from RNAcentral. Lineage: Bacteria; Bacillati; Bacillota; Negativicutes; Veillonellales; Veillonellaceae.
GCGAGUGUGGCGGAAUGGCAGACGCGCCAGACUUAGGAUCUGGUGUCUUAUGACGUAAGGGUUCAAGUCCCUUCACUCGCACCA